GUCCGUUUCAAUAUUUAGGCCGUCAUUUUUUUAUGAAAAAAAGUCAUCUGAUACGGCUUCAGGGACCAGUUGAUAUCCGGUAGAAGAAGAAACGAACUUUUACUGCCUAUUAUUUUGUGGAUGUUAAACAAGGAAUGGUAGGCUACAUCAAUAGCAGAACCCCAGCAAGUACAACGUUGGUCAUUAACAAGAUUCCUCGACGGCAGACGUGGACUGUAAUUUUGUCUUUGAGCAGAUCCAGUCUUUAGAAGACCUGCAAGGGCUGGAGAAAAAUAUGAGAUAAUAAGAAAAAGAAGGCAAUGAAGACCUAUGUCACCAGAAUAGGUGGAGUUGACGGAAAAUUCCAUGGUAAAAAAGGCCAUGCAAAGCUGUCUGUCGAAUGGUGUCAUGGCCAAAAUGAACAUGUGCGGGAAAAAAACAAGUUCGCGUUUGGGCAAACUUCUCUUUGCAAAAUCAUAAUAGAAGCUGUCACUGAAUCUCGCCAGAAAGCGACACAAGAUUCCUGUCAGAAAUGUAUGGCACAGUAUCUGAAGUAUGCUCCAGAAAGGCAUGGCGGUGGUGGACGCCAAACUAAUUUGGUUAAUUUAUAGAACCUGUCGCAGAAUACCAGGGACCAGACUGCCAUUCAUGUCUAUGAUUGAUGAUGCAUGGCGACGAUGGACAUUGAAAUACCAAAAUAAAACGAUUAUA
This is a long non-coding RNA of Mizuhopecten yessoensis (Yesso scallop), 690 nucleotides long. RefSeq lists it as uncharacterized. The transcript has 6 exons. The record is from RefSeq and is a predicted model, not a curated record. Lineage: Eukaryota; Metazoa; Mollusca; Bivalvia; Pectinida; Pectinidae.